AUGGACGUUGUAUGUCAACAUGAUAAAUUAAAUUUAUAACCUGGCCUAGUUGAAAAAAAAGCCAAACACUCUACAGUAAAAAAAACACAUGAAGACCACUAAAUAAGCAUUGCCAACUGGAAAACAAAAAUAUGAUAAACAAAACAACUUUCUAUUCAAGAGGAUCUGACCCAACUUAAACAUGAGCAAAAGUAUAUCCACAAAAUAAACCAUCUAUACGAAACAUAUACACAACACCAACAUACACAAUACUUCAGCACUAUAGACAUAAAGCAAUUUCAAGAAUUCUGAGAACAGAAAUUAAACAACUUUUUAA
This 316-nucleotide long non-coding RNA is filed under the name Helianthus annuus (common sunflower). Its description in RNAcentral is "sRNA HanXRQr2_Chr04g0145701". Lineage: Eukaryota; Viridiplantae; Streptophyta; Magnoliopsida; Asterales; Asteraceae. The record is from RNAcentral.